Molecule: unclassified non-coding RNA, 650 nt
Filed under: Bradyrhizobium sp. STM 3082
Lineage: Bacteria; Pseudomonadati; Pseudomonadota; Alphaproteobacteria; Hyphomicrobiales; Nitrobacteraceae
Description: partial 16S-23S ribosomal RNA intergenic spacer
Rfam family: tRNA (bases 100-172)
Source: RNAcentral
UCAGUUGGUUAGAGCGCGCGCUUGAUAAGCGUGAGGUCGGAAGUUCAAGUCUUCCCAGGCCCACCACUUUCAUCAAGUGAGCAUUCGUCUUCUGGUUACGGGGCCAUAGCUCAGCUGGGAGAGCGCGUGCUUUGCAAGCAUGAGGUCGUCGGUUCGAUCCCGUCUGGCUCCACCAGAUGGUUUGAUUGCCGACGGAGCUUGCGCCUAGGUCUUGCACCAUAAUCGUCCGCGAAACAUCACUUCGCAGCCACUAGUCCGGAUGGACAGUGAGGUUGCGUGAUUUCUGACAUCGUAAAGAGGAGAUCGAUCCGAGUUGGGUCGUGCAGCAAAUUGUUGCGCGAGCCUUCAUUAUCUCCGGAUCAUUUCGGCGCUUGCUUUCGACCGUGAGGUUGGCUGCGAGUUGUAAAUGAUCCUUUUAGCGAAGCUUGACCGCCUCGCUAUCGGAACGAUCUUACGAAGCAAGCUGGUCUUUCUAGUCAAUGUCCGGCUGCAGAUAGCGUUCAUCGAGGGCGCGUGCCGCAAGGUAAUUCUGCAGACAACAUUCUGCCGAGUGUGUGGACAUUGAUAAUGAGAGCAAUCAAGUGCCUUAAGGGUGUUCGGUGGAUGCCUUGGCGCUGAGAGGCGAUGAAGGACGUGCUACGCUGCGAUAA